This 1094-nucleotide long non-coding RNA is filed under the name Anser cygnoides (Swan goose). RNAcentral's name for it is "lncRNA (ENSACDG00005019104.1)". The record is from RNAcentral. Lineage: Eukaryota; Metazoa; Chordata; Aves; Anseriformes; Anatidae.
AAAUGCUAAAAUCUUUGAAGUGACUUUCAUUUGCUGAAACUUCUCUCUCUCUCUCUUUUUUUUUUUUUCCAGCUUCUUUCUCCUAGUCUCUUUUGGUUGGUACUCUUCACCCUCGAAUUAAAGCCCUCUGAAGAUUUUAUGAAGUCCAGGAAUAAUAUUUCAGAACACUUUUUAUGUACAAGUGCCAGGUGUGCCUUCAAAGUGGCUCCAUAAAAGUACUACUUGGAUGCCAGAUAACAGAUUCCUGCUGGCCUUCAGAUCCUGAGCUUCUCAGAAUGUGAGUAGAUUUUUUCAGGUGCAGUGGGCGUUCGCUUUAUCCCUAGAUGAUGAAUAAGUCAGGGAUACAAUUGUUAUAAAUAAUAAUGCUUAUUUGUUUUUCUUAUUCUACUAUUAGUAUAUUUAAUGCUUAUUUAUUAUUUCCAUUAUUAUUUUAUUAUAUUUUUAUUUUAAAUAUAGAUAAACAGUGAAACAUUUAUUUAUUUAUUUUUCAGUUUGCUGCUGGAAAAAUCAUCUGGAGAAAGUCUCAAUGGAUCUUUGAAGUGCUCCUCAAGAUGAGUAAUAAUGCUGUAAAGACCUUUCUGUUGCUCUCAUCACCAAAUUACCUGCAGUCUUCAUAGACACCAAAGAGGUUAGCAUCAGACAGCACCUGGGAGACCAGAAAGAUAAGUGUCUUCAUUUUUCAGACGACAAAAUGGAGUUCCAGCCUGCAGAAAAGGCUUCUUCCAGAUCACAAACGAUAAAAGAAGCUGAACAGAAAUCGAUCCCUAUGACAAUAUGAGUUGAAUUUCAGUUUUUUUGUAGUUCUUAAUUCAAUGCCUUCAACUUAACACUCUUUCUUAGAGGUAGAUGAUACACACAGCCAACGUAAAUUGAUUUGACUCAAUAUACAUAUUAACUAUUAAUAGUAUUUUAGAUUGAUAAAGAAAAAAGAUCUGUUGAUUGAAAAAGAGAAAAAGUAGUGAAAGUGAUAUAAAAUUUAUUUUAACAUAUUGUUAACAUAUAACAAUUAAAUAUUAAGAAUAUUUUUAUUCUUCUGUUUAAUGUUCCAGCUAGAAGUUAAUAAAUGUCACAUUGCUCAAAUAUGAUUUGAAUAG